RNAcentral lists this ribosomal RNA (303 nucleotides) under uncultured bacterium. RNAcentral describes it as "partial 16S ribosomal RNA". It matches the Rfam family "Bacterial small subunit ribosomal RNA", at positions 507 to 808 of the family's 1533-position model. The record is from RNAcentral.
AGCAGCAGCCGCGGGAAUACGUAGGUCCCGAGCGUUGUCCGGAUUUAUUGGGCGUAAAGCGAGCGCAGGCGGUUAGAUAAGUCUGAAGUUAAAGGCUGUGGCUUAACCAUAGUACGCUUUGGAAACUGUUUAACUUGAGUGCAGGAGGGGAGAGUGGAAUUCCAUGUGUGGCGGUGAAAUGCGUAGAUAUAUGGAGGAACACCGGUGGCGAAAGCGGCUCUCUGGCUUGUAACUGACGCUGAGACUCGAAAGCGUGGGGAGCAAACAGGAUUAGAUACCCCUGUAGUCCCUGUCUCUUAUACC